RNAcentral lists this ribosomal RNA (598 nucleotides) under Fusarium pseudonygamai. RNAcentral's name for it is "eukaryotic LSU rRNA". It matches the Rfam family "Eukaryotic large subunit ribosomal RNA", at positions 1 to 609 of the family's 3401-position model. The record is from RNAcentral. Lineage: Eukaryota; Fungi; Ascomycota; Sordariomycetes; Hypocreales; Nectriaceae.
UUGACCUCGGAUCAGGUAGGAAUACCCGCUGAACUUAAGCAUAUCAAUAAGCGGAGGAAAAGAAACCAACAGGGAUUGCCCUAGUAACGGCGAGUGAAGCGGCAACAGCUCAAAUUUGAAAUCUGGCUCUCGGGCCCGAGUUGUAAUUUGUAGAGGAUACUUUUGAUGCGGUGCCUUCCGAGUUCCCUGGAACGGGACGCCAUAGAGGGUGAGAGCCCCGUCUGGUUGGAUGCCAAAUCUCUGUAAAGUUCCUUCGACGAGUCGAGUAGUUUGGGAAUGCUGCUCUAAAUGGGAGGUAUAUGUCUUCUAAAGCUAAAUACCGGCCAGAGACCGAUAGCGCACAAGUAGAGUGAUCGAAAGAUGAAAAGCACUUUGAAAAGAGAGUUAAAAAGUACGUGAAAUUGUUGAAAGGGAAGCGUUUAUGACCAGACUUGGGCUUGGUUAAUCAUCUGGGGUUCUCCCCAGUGCACUUUUCCAGUCCAGGCCAGCAUCAGUUUUCCCCGGGGGAUAAAGACUUCGGGAAUGUGGCUCUCUUCGGGGAGUGUUAUAGCCCGUUGUGUAAUACCCUGGGGGGGACUGAGGUUCGCGCAUCUGCAAG